RNAcentral lists this ribosomal RNA (253 nucleotides) under uncultured bacterium. Its description in RNAcentral is "partial 16S ribosomal RNA". It matches the Rfam family "Bacterial small subunit ribosomal RNA", at positions 524 to 776 of the family's 1533-position model. The record is from RNAcentral.
GACGGAGGGUGCAAGCGUUGUUCGGAUUGACUGGGCGUAAAGGGCGUGUAGGCGGUUGGUCAAGUCCGAUGUGAAAGCCCGGGGCUCAGCUCCGGAAGUGCAUCGGAAACUAGCCAGCUUGAGCGCGAUAGAGGAGGGUGGAAUUCCUGGUGUAGCGGUGAAAUGCGUAGAUAUCAGGAGGAACACCGGCGGCGAAGGCGGCCCUCUGGAUCGUUGCUGACGCUGAGACGCGAAAGCGUGGGGAGCAAACAGG